This 510-nucleotide ribosomal RNA is filed under the name bacterium La21. RNAcentral describes it as "bacterial SSU rRNA". It matches the Rfam family "Bacterial small subunit ribosomal RNA", at positions 162 to 658 of the family's 1533-position model. The record is from RNAcentral.
GCUAAUACCGCAUAACAAUUUGAAUCGCAUGAUUCAAAUUUAAAAGAUGGCUUCGGCUAUCACUUUGGGAUGGACCUGCGGCGCAUUAGCUUGUUGGUAGGGUAACGGCCUACCAAGGCUGUGAUGCGUAGCCGAGUUGAGAGACUGAUCGGCCACAAUGGAACUGAGACACGGUCCAUACUCCUACGGGAGGCAGCAGUAGGGAAUCUUCCACAAUGGGCGCAAGCCUGAUGGAGCAACACCGCGUGAGUGAAGAAGGGUUUCGGCUCGUAAAGCUCUGUUGUUAGAGAAGAACGUGCGUGAGAGCAACUGUUCACGCAGUGACGGUAUCUAACCAGAAAGUCACGGCUAACUACGUGCCAGCAGCCGCGGUAAUACGUAGGUGGCAAGCGUUAUCCGGAUUUAUUGGGCGUAAAGCGAGCGCAGGCGGUUUGAUAAGUCUGAUGUGAAAGCCUUUGGCUUAACCAAAGAAGUGCAUCGGAAACUGUCAGACUUGAGUGCAGAAGAGGA